RNAcentral lists this ribosomal RNA (465 nucleotides) under Vreelandella stevensii. RNAcentral describes it as "partial 16S ribosomal RNA". It matches the Rfam family "Bacterial small subunit ribosomal RNA", at positions 338 to 795 of the family's 1533-position model. The record is from RNAcentral. Lineage: Bacteria; Pseudomonadati; Pseudomonadota; Gammaproteobacteria; Oceanospirillales; Halomonadaceae.
CCUACGGGUGGCUGCAGUGGGGAAUAUUGGACAAUGGGCGAAAGCCUGAUCCAGCCAUGCCGCGUGUGUGAAGAAGGCCUUCGGGUUGUAAAGCACUUUCAGUGGGGAAGAAAGCCUUGGGGCUAAUACCCUCGAGGAAGGACAUCACCCACAGAAGAAGCACCGGCUAACUCCGUGCCAGCAGCCGCGGUAAUAAGGAGGGUGCGAGCGUUAAUCGGAAUUACUGGGCGUAAAGCGCGCGUAGGCGGUCUGAUAAGCCGGUUGUGAAAGCCCCGGGCUCAACCUGGGAACGGCAUCCGGAACUGGCAGGCUAGAGGGCAGGAGAGGAAGGUAGAAUUCCCGGUGUAGCGGUGAAAUGCGUAGAGAUCGGGAGGAAUACCAGUGGCGAAGGCGGCCUUCUGGACUGACACUGACGCUGAGGUGCGAAAGCGUGGGUAGCAAACAGGAUUAGAUACCCCUGUAGUC